UACAGAGGUCUCAAGCGUUGUUCGGAUUCAUUGGGCGUAAAGGGUGCGUAGGCGGCGCGGUAAGUCGGGUGUGAAAUCUCGGAGCUUAACUCCGAAACUGCAUUCGAUACUGCCGUGCUUGAGGACUGGAGAGGAGACUGGAAUUUACAGUGUAGCGGUGAAAUGCGUAGAUAUCGUAAGGAAGACCAGUGGGCGAAGGCGGGUCUCUGGACAGUUUCC
This 219-nucleotide ribosomal RNA is filed under the name uncultured bacterium. RNAcentral's name for it is "partial 16S ribosomal RNA". It matches the Rfam family "Bacterial small subunit ribosomal RNA", at positions 524 to 741 of the family's 1533-position model. The record is from RNAcentral.